Molecule: transfer RNA, 67 nt
Filed under: Chrysolampis mosquitus
Lineage: Eukaryota; Metazoa; Chordata; Aves; Apodiformes; Trochilidae
Description: tRNA-Cys
Source: RNAcentral
GGCCUUGUAGUGAAGUUCACGAUGAAUUGCAAAUUCAUUAAUGCACAUUAGAUAUGUGUCAGGGUCU